This is an RNA transcript of Melopsittacus undulatus (budgerigar), 544 nucleotides long. It is a transcript of the gene named ribosomal oxygenase 2-like, with no coding region annotated. The transcript is spliced from 4 exons. The record is from RefSeq and is a predicted model, not a curated record. NCBI's taxonomy places the organism in Eukaryota, Metazoa, Chordata, Aves, Psittaciformes, Psittaculidae.
GCUGAGGCUGACACAACUCCCAGUUUGACUGAGUUAACUGGCUAAUUGGAGAGACAUGGGAAGAUGUACAUCGAAAGAGAGUAAGAGGCUUCUGAAACAGGAGGUGGAGAAAGAGAACUCCGUUCAAAAUCCAUUACCAGGAGCUUCAGCCAGCCUCAAGCAGUCAUCUGUAAUGCAGCUAAACCAAGCCUGACCUUGGAAGAUCAAAAAAGAAGAGGCUGCAUGUCAAGAGAAGAGAGAAGAGGUGGCGUGUGUAACGGCGAGUUCCUGUCCUUCACCUCUUGGGGAGUUUACUUACUGGAUGCACUUCCUGGCCUUGUGUUUGACGCAGCAAAAGAAGAUGUGGCACUGUGGACGAGCAUACUGAGGAAGCUGCUUCUGCAGGUGGAUGUAGCUGACUCAAGGGGAAAGCUGAGCAACCUUGGAUACUGAGCUCUAAUUGGUGAGUCUAGAGGUUACUACUGUUUACAAAGCUAAUGUUUAUAACUUGUUUGUUCUUGUAUUUGUAAAAUUGCAUUUGUGUAUUUUGUAAUACUGUAUUUGU